GUGGAUUAGUGGCGAACGGGUGAGUAACACGUGGGCAAUCUGCCCUGCACUCUGGGACAAGCCCUGGAAACGGGGUCUAAUACCGGAUGAUACCUACUGGGGCAUCUUAGUGGGUUGAAAGCUCCGGCGGUGCAGGAUGAGCCCGCGGCCUAUCAGCUUGUUGGUGGGGUGAUGGCCUACCAAGGCGACGACGGGUAGCCGGCCUGAGAGGGCGACCGGCCACACUGGGACUGAGACACGGCCCAGACUCAUACGGGAGGCAGCAGUGGGGAAUAUUGCACAAUGGGCGGAAGCCUGAUGCAGCGACGCCGCGUGAGGGAUGACGGCCUUCGGGUUGUAAACCUCUUUCAGCAGGGAAGAAGCGUGAGUGACGGUACCUGCAGAAGAAGCACCGGCUAACUACGUGCCAGCAGCCGCGGUAAUACGUAGGGUGCGAGCGUUGUCCGGAAUUAUUGGGCGUAAAGAGCUCGUAGGCGGCUUGUCGCGUCGGAUGUGAAAGCCCGGGGCUUAACUCCGGGUCUGCAUUCGAUACGGGCAGGCUAGAGUGUGGUAGGGGAGAUCGGAAUUCCUGGUGUAGCGGUGAAAUGCGCAGAUAUCAGGAGGAACACCGGUGGCGAAGGCGGAUCUCUGGGCCAUUACUGACGCUGAGGAGCGAAAGCGUGGGGAGCG
RNAcentral lists this ribosomal RNA (669 nucleotides) under Streptomyces sp. 325(2010). RNAcentral describes it as "bacterial SSU rRNA". It matches the Rfam family "Bacterial small subunit ribosomal RNA", at positions 87 to 770 of the family's 1533-position model. Lineage: Bacteria; Bacillati; Actinomycetota; Actinomycetes; Kitasatosporales; Streptomycetaceae. The record is from RNAcentral.